UAUGGUGCGUUCGCCCGGGUACGAUCCAUGCGUCUAGCGAGUAUCCCUUGUACUCAGAUUUUCUGGAUGUUGUCAGCGAUGAGAGACGCUUUUCUUAUUUAGAUAGUUCUACGUUCCGCAAGGCACGGAUCUGUGGUCUCGUCGGAACUGGGGAAAACGCUGUGUUCAAGCAGAUAGAUCGUGUGUCGGUCUUCUGUUAGCCUCUCGUUGGGCAUGUGAUCGAAUCCUGAUCGCGCGCGCGCGCGUGCUUAACAGGUAGGCCCAAACCUGUGGAGAUGCGUUGACCGGUGACCGACACAGGCUUGUGUUCAGCUGCUGGACGAUGUGGCAGCAUGGGCGCUCUUUCGACUGGGAAAAGAGGGAUGCGUGUCGGAGGAACGCAGUCUCGUGUAGAUACACCCGUUGCUUCUGGAGGCUGCAGUAUAGUCCAGCGCCGCGUGCUGGUCGUUUUCGUGGACGGGGCUGUACGGGGCUCGGAAAUUGUCCACCAGUCGCUGUGUUUGUGCGAUCGUGCGCAUUUGCUAGGGAAGGAAGCGGAUCAUCGGGGGCACGGGCCGUGUCGAUCGCGAGUCGAUUUCAGGACAUGCGAACACCCGCCCAGAACUUUCAUGAAUAAACCAGUCUUCAUGUGCGAGCUCGGAGCGUCUAGCAGACACCCGGCCUCUAUUCAGAUCGGGGCACGAGCCGUGUCGAAGUGAUGCAGGGCUGCAGUCUCGUUCCGCUGACCCGCACCACGACCCGCGAGCAGCAUCCAUCACGGGAGCGCUUCUCAAGCCGACGCCUCCAGAGGUACGGCAGGCACUCGUCGCUCAAUAGAACGUACGAAACGACCGAUCCGUCUGAGAAGAAGUAUGGGGAAUGGAACUUGGGUGCAUCGCAAUGGGGGCGUUUUCGGAAUGCCAGCAGCCAUUCCUGCGAUCUGCGAGACGCGAGCGCAAUGAUCUCGCAGCGCGCAGCGCAUUGGGCGAGCGCUGCAGUUCGUGAAUCCGAGUCGCUCGAAGCGUCUUGGGCGAAGCACUUGCCACGGAACCUAUGCGAGCGACUUUUAAGUCAACCGCCUUUCUGCAAGUCUACGGUGGUGGUACGACUCCCUGCAGUAAUCGUCACAGGCUGAGGCGACAGACUUGGACUUUGGGCCGACGGCGAUCUGGCUACAAGUGCGCCUCCGUUGCAGCGCUCUCGCUCACACAGCGGACUGAGUACUCUCGGAGAGAACUUCUUCGAGCUUUUUCAUUGUUGCCGGCAACCGCUGUCUUUGCCUAUACGGCAGCGAUGACCGUGCAGCAGGCAGCUGCAGCUGUCGCGCCGUCGACGACUGGUGCACCGGCAACCGCACCCAAGACGGGUGCUGAGAUACCAGUCGCACCGUUGCCGUAUCCAUAUAAUGCCCUUGAGCCGGUCAUUGACGCCAAGACGAUGCGUCUGCACCAUGAUAAGCAUUUUGCGGGAUACGUGAGCAAGACGAAUGCGGCGCUCAACGAGGAGCAGCGGAGGACGUUUCCGGCGAUCCUGAGCCGGCUCUCGACGAUAUCGGAUCGGGCGUUGCGCGAGACUGUGCGGAACCAGGGUGGCGGCGCCAUAAACCACCGU
RNAcentral lists this unclassified non-coding RNA (1590 nucleotides) under Cyanidioschyzon merolae strain 10D. Its description in RNAcentral is "hypothetical transcript". The record is from RNAcentral. Lineage: Eukaryota; Rhodophyta; Bangiophyceae; Cyanidiales; Cyanidiaceae.